UGACACAGCACAGAGGGCUGGGGCUGGGCUGGGCUUUGCUUUUCUACUUGUUUCUUCCUCUUUCCUCCUUGUUUACUCACUCAUGGCACAUCCACAGGCUUCAGUCCCUCAGGUGUGUACCUGCUCUGGUGUCAUCCCUCCCUGGGCUGGUCUCUUCAGGGAGAAAUGGGCCAGUGGGAAUUCCAUGAAGUUUCUAGAGGAAAACGCCGUGUCCUGCACCUGGGCAGGGAUGUUUCCAUUUGCCAACACUCACAUGAGAGACCAGAGAAGCAUCUGGCUGUCCUGAUGGCCACGAGCCACCCCUGAGUCAGCGGUGCACCUCCAUGGUCUGACAGCAUCCUCAGGUGUGGGAGCCAGAGGAUUUGCCCACAGGUUACCCCCAUCCCCUCCUGGGGCACAGGGAAGGCCACAUCUGGAGCACUGGCACCAGUUUUGGACUCCCCAGUACAAGACAGCCUGGUCAGAACUGGGGUCCAGCAUGGACUGAUUAGGACAUCUGAGAAUCUGACAGCAGUUCCAGGAGUGUGUCCUGUGCACAGACAUUUCAAGGUGGUAGCUCUGUGCCGCCUGGGCCCUUCUUGCUCCAAGUGCCUCUGGGAUGUGACUGAUUCCAGCAGCUGUGGAUUAAGUGGCUGCCUUGAACCUUUACCAGCCCAGAACUUUUAACAGCCCGCUGUGGGCCUUGUUUGCACACCGACAAACAUGCAGGAAGCAUUUGUGCCCAUGUGGAGACCAGAACCAGCUGAGAUACAAGCAAUGGUGAUUUCUGCUGGAGAAAGAAUUCUUGAGCAGGAAGGUGCAUCCCUCAAAACAGCCAAGGAAACAGGAGUGGGAGAAGCUAUUGGUGCUACAACAGUGCCCUUGGCUUUGGGAGAUAUGACACAUGCUUG
Molecule: long non-coding RNA, 890 nt
Organism: Agelaius phoeniceus (red-winged blackbird)
Lineage: Eukaryota; Metazoa; Chordata; Aves; Passeriformes; Icteridae
Source: RefSeq, a predicted model, not a curated record